GCAAUGCUAAACACCAUCUCUCCUAGUCUCCCUCCCUCCCUCAUCUCCUGCUGAUCACUUUGUGCUGUUAGCAUAAUUCCAAAUAAAAUAUGAAGGUAGCUUUGUGGAUAGUGGUGGCAACAUGGAUUUCCUGGACCAUUGUAUUUGGAACCGCCAGGGUUUAUCCAUUAACAGCAAAUGAUGACUACACACUUGGCGUCUUCCCCACGGCAAGCUUCAGCACUAAAGAUGCCACUGCGACCAGCUACUCCACAUUCCUUAGUGAUCUCCGAGGGAAACUGGGAAGUGGUAAUAGCAAUGGGAUACCCGUGUUGCCUGCCACAGUGGCCCAAGAUAAGCAGUAUCUUCUAGUGGAACUCACAAAUUCACAGAACUAUAAGGUCACAGUAGCAUUGAAUCUCAUCAACAUAUAUGUUGUGGCUUAUAAAGCUGGAAGUAAGGCCUUCUUCUUCAGCGAUGCUCCUGAUAAAGCAACUGAUUAUCUUUUCAAAGAUAAAGACACAAACCAAAUCAAAUUAAAAUUCACUGGUAGCUAUGUGGAUCUGCAGAAGAAUGGAGCAGAUAGAUUGAAAACCAAUUUGGGAGUCCUGGCAUUAGAUGAUUCAAUCUUUACACUCAACAAGUAUGAUAACACCCAGCCAACUAAAAUUGCUGGUCCUCUUGUGGUUACUAUCCAGAUGGUUGCAGAAGCUGCAAGAUUCACAUAUAUCGAGAGAAAAGUGCUGAGUAAUUUUGCCCAAAGAUUUCUUCCACUUGAAGACGUGACUAGCCGUGAGAACAAGUGGAAAUCUCUUUCCACUGGAAUCCAGAAAGCUGAUAAAAAUGGAAACUUUCCAACACCUGUUCAAUUGAAGAAUUCUGAUGGUUCGGCCAAUGUUGUGUCCACAGUUAAACAAGCAAAACCUGACAUGGGAAUCUUGUUGUAUGUAGCCAAUAAGAACUCCAAACCAAGCCUUGAACAAACACAAUCAUCAUUUUGGUUGUCCACCCUUAUUCAGAACUACUAGUGGCUGCCAUCGCUUGCUGCAUAUGUAUCUGGCAAUCUAGCUUGUAGUUUAAAAUAAUUACAAUCAAGGG
Molecule: unclassified non-coding RNA, 1077 nt
Filed under: Hevea brasiliensis (rubber tree)
Lineage: Eukaryota; Viridiplantae; Streptophyta; Magnoliopsida; Malpighiales; Euphorbiaceae
Source: RNAcentral